CUGCUAGAUUUAACUUGCAAUGAUUCCAAUGCCCCCUUGGAUCAGCUGAAGGUGGAACAAAGAUAUGGUGAAACUGGUACACAUCAUAUGCCGAGUUCAGGAUAAAAUACGGUGUUCUAAUGUAUUUUAGUGCAUUCUGCGGGAAAAAACACUGAUAAGGAUGGUAUUGAGAAGCUAGGCAAGUUUCAUUCAGUUUCUUCUGAACCCCCUGUAAAGUGACCACGCCAUGGAAAAAGGGUUCAAUUGUGUUGUUGCCAGUUAUGUCCCGCCUGAAUUUGAG
RNAcentral lists this unclassified non-coding RNA (280 nucleotides) under Hevea brasiliensis (rubber tree). Lineage: Eukaryota; Viridiplantae; Streptophyta; Magnoliopsida; Malpighiales; Euphorbiaceae. The record is from RNAcentral.